RNAcentral lists this long non-coding RNA (997 nucleotides) under Homo sapiens (human). RNAcentral describes it as "HSALNT0128444". Lineage: Eukaryota; Metazoa; Chordata; Mammalia; Primates; Hominidae. The record is from RNAcentral.
GCCAGUCUCAUUCCCACCAUGCCCCACAAAGAGCACUGACUCUAUUACCAGGCAGCCAGUGAUCAGGGCUGAGAACUAGCCCCAGACCACCAGCCUCUCCACUGAGAAAGCAAACAGACUCACAGUUUUCAGCAUCUCAGGGAGCCUGCAGCGGCAAUCCAGUUCCUUCAAAUGGCCUGUGGUUUAUCUCAGCUUUCCUGGUAUCAUCCUGCAGAAGUUCUUAGAGCAAAAGUUCACCAUGUCAUAGGAAAUGAAACAGACUGCUGUUUUCAUGAGAAGCAUUUACAGAGGGAAAUAAGGACACUCACCAAAUAGGGCUAAUUUGAAGAAGGACACAGCUGACUUAGUAGGAAGAAGGCAGAAGAAUUAUCUCCUGGUAAUCAAGACUCUGAAAAUAAGACUUAAGAUAAAAGACUGGAUACAUGCAAGAACAGAGUUCUUAAAGAUCACCAGCUGAAGAUUGUGAUUUUUCAUUCUUCUAUGCCCUAAGACAGCCAUAUUUUACCAUUUGAAACAUAAAUAAAAAUGACUUCCAGGCUUAUUUGAUUACAGACUGAAUUGCUCUAUCAUAGGAUGACAAGCAAUGACAGAUAGGUUCCCCAUAAAGAAAAGUCUGUGAGACUCCAUAUUUCCUGUAAAAGAUGAUAUGAGGAAACCGGGCAGAUUUUUCUUUCAUUCAUACUCUUUUAUAUGGGGGCAAUAGUACUGUCAAUCUCUAUUAUAUCAUUAGGUUACCUGGAAGGUCUUAUGUUUGGCAGUGGAAUGUAAGUUUUAGGGUAAUUUUUCUGAGUGGCAACCCAAGGCCAAUGUAGUAAAUUUUGAAAGAUCAAUUAAAUUACAGAAAAGGCUUGCAUAACAUAAAUGUGUUCUGCCCACUUGUCAACAUGGGUAAAGAUAUUAAUAUUGUAACAAGUGCAAUGACAGAAUUUCAUUUUCAGACUCCAGACUUCUUAACAGUAGCAGUGGCAAGGCAUCAAACCAGUGAGUUUUGCUUCUU